AACGCACAUUGCGCCCAUUGGUAUUCCGAUGGGCAUGCCUGUUCGAGCGUCAUUAUCCUCCCUCAAACCUCUUUUGUGUUUGGUGUUGGGCCACGCCCCCUUAGCUUUCACGAGCGGGCGGCGGGCCCCAAAGGCAAUGACGGCGUCCGUGGGACCCUCGAUGCAACGAGCUUCAUUCUUGUGAGCACGUGUCGAGUUGCAAGGACCCCCGGGCCCGGUCGACCCCUCCUUUUAGGGGACAUUUAUCUUCCAGGUUGACCUCGGAUCAGGUAGGAAUACCCGCUGAACUUAA
RNAcentral lists this unclassified non-coding RNA (292 nucleotides) under uncultured fungus. RNAcentral's name for it is "partial contains 5.8S ribosomal RNA, internal transcribed spacer 2, and large subunit ribosomal RNA". The stretch from base 1 to 52 matches the Rfam family "5.8S ribosomal RNA", at positions 103 to 154 of the family's 154-position model. The record is from RNAcentral. Lineage: Eukaryota; Fungi.